UCCCUGGUGGCUCAGACAGUAAAGUGUCUGCCUGCAAUGCAGGAGACCUCGGUUCGAUUCCUGGGUCGGGAA
Molecule: transfer RNA, 72 nt
Filed under: Bos taurus (domestic cattle)
Lineage: Eukaryota; Metazoa; Chordata; Mammalia; Artiodactyla; Bovidae
Also listed under: 1 other name
Rfam family: tRNA
About the family: Transfer RNA (tRNA) molecules are approximately 80 nucleotides in length. Their secondary structure includes four short double-helical elements and three loops (D, anti-codon, and T loops).
Source: Rfam by way of RNAcentral